AACAGUGUAGUAUAAUGGUUAAGGAGUUGGUCUUGGAACCUAAAGGUCGCGGGUUCGAUUCCCAGGUAGGACACUGCUG
RNAcentral lists this transfer RNA (79 nucleotides) under Anguilla anguilla (European eel). Its description in RNAcentral is "tRNA-OTHER". Lineage: Eukaryota; Metazoa; Chordata; Actinopteri; Anguilliformes; Anguillidae. The record is from RNAcentral.